GCAAGUCGAGGGGUAACAUAAUUGAUCUUGCUUAAUUGAUGACCACCGGCGCACGGGUGCGUAACGCGUAUUCAACCUACCUCUUACUUGGGAAUAGCCAGAAGAAAUUCUGAUUAAUGCCCCAUAGUAUUGUUUUUUCGCAUGUUAAGACAAUUAAAGGUUACGGUAAGAGAUGGGCAUGCGUCCUAUUAGCUAGAUGGUAAGGUAACGGCUUACCAUGGCAGCGAUAGGUAGGGGGCCUGAGAGGGUGAUC
This 253-nucleotide ribosomal RNA is filed under the name uncultured bacterium. RNAcentral's name for it is "partial 16S ribosomal RNA". It matches the Rfam family "Bacterial small subunit ribosomal RNA", at positions 57 to 305 of the family's 1533-position model. The record is from RNAcentral.